AAUGAGCAAGGAAUUUUGGCUCCGGUCGAGGCAAAGCUUAGGCCCAAGAAUAUGGGAAUGGGCUUCAACGACUAUAAGGAGAAUAGUACACCAACUCUUCAAGAAUCAGAGGGAAAGCCUGUUGCUCGUCCUGCUCAACCUGUGGAAGGCCACUAGUGCACCAACUCUUCAAGAAUCAGAGGGAAAGCCUGUUGCUCGUCCUGCUCAACCUGUGGAAGGCCACUCAAAAGACAAGCUUUGGUCAAAGCAAGCUAAAAAACUAAAGAAGGUUUACAUUACAGCUGAAGAGUUGUUAGCCAAAAAGCAGGAGCAGGGCCUGGAAGUUGUUCAGAAGGUCUUUGAUAUGAG
RNAcentral lists this long non-coding RNA (348 nucleotides) under Nicotiana benthamiana. Its description in RNAcentral is "long non-coding RNA (NBEN_LNC013441)". Lineage: Eukaryota; Viridiplantae; Streptophyta; Magnoliopsida; Solanales; Solanaceae. The record is from RNAcentral.